This 465-nucleotide ribosomal RNA is filed under the name uncultured bacterium. RNAcentral describes it as "partial 16S ribosomal RNA". It matches the Rfam family "Bacterial small subunit ribosomal RNA", at positions 28 to 507 of the family's 1533-position model. The record is from RNAcentral.
GACGAACGCUGGCGGCGUGCUUAACACAUGCAAGUCGAACGGAAAGGCCCCUUUGGGGGUACUCGAGUGGCGAACGGGUGAGUAACACGUGAGUAACCUGCCCUUGACUUCGGGAUAACUUCAGGAAACUGGGGCUAAUACCGGAUAGGAAUCCUUGCUGCAUGGUGGGGGUUGGAAAGCUUCGGCGGUUUUGGAUGGACUCGCGGCUUAUCAGCUUGUUGGUGGGGUAGUGGCUUACCAAGGCUUUGACGGGUAGCCGGCCUGAGAGGGCGACCGGCCACAUUGGGACUGAGAUACGGCCCAGACUCCUACGGGAGGCAGCAGUGGGGAAUAUUGCACAAUGGGCGGAAGCCUGAUGCAGCAACGCCGCGUGCGGGAUGACGGCCUUCGGGUUGUACACCGCUUUCAGCAGGGGCGAAGCUUGUGGUGACGGUACCUGCAGAAGAAGCACCGGCUAACUACGUG